Molecule: ribosomal RNA, 776 nt
Filed under: Bhargavaea sp. BAB-5528
Lineage: Bacteria; Bacillati; Bacillota; Bacilli; Caryophanales; Caryophanaceae
Description: bacterial SSU rRNA
Rfam family: Bacterial small subunit ribosomal RNA
Source: RNAcentral
UGGCUCAGGACGAACGCUGGCGGCGUGCCUAAUACAUGCAAGUCGAGCGGAUGAACGGAGAGCUUGCUCUCCGGAUUCAGCGGCGGACGGGGUGAGUAACACGUGGGCAACCUGCCUGUAAGAUCGGGAUAACUCCGGGAAACCGGGGCUAAUACCGGAUGGUUCCUUCCUCCGCAUGGAGGAAGGCGGAAAGACGGUUUCGGCUGUCACUUACAGAUGGGCCCGCGGCGCAUUAGCUAGUUGGUGGGGUAAUGGCCUACCAAGGCAACGAUGCGUAGCCGACCUGAGAGGGUGAUCGGCCACACUGGGACUGAGACACGGCCCAGACUCCUACGGGAGGCAGCAGUAGGGAAUCUUCCGCAAUGGACGAAAGUCUGACGGAGCAACGCCGCGUGAGCGAAGAAGGCCUUCGGGUCGUAAAGCUCUGUUGUAAGGGAAGAACAAGCAUCGGUUAACUGCCGGUGCCCUGACGGUACCUUACCAGAAAGCCACGGCUAACUACGUGCCAGCAGCCGCGGUAAUACGUAGGUGGCAAGCGUUGUCCGGAAUUAUUGGGCGUAAAGCGCGCGCAGGCGGUCCUUUAAGUCUGAUGUGAAAGCCCACGGCUCAACCGUGGAGGGUCAUUGGAAACUGGGGGACUUGAGUGCAGAAGAGGAAAGCGGAAUUCCACGUGUAGCGGUGAAAUGCGUAGAGAUGUGGAGGAACACCAGUGGCGAAGGCGGCUUUCUGGUCUGUAACUGACGCUGAGGCGCGAAAGCGUGGGCAAACAGGAUUAG